This 568-nucleotide ribosomal RNA is filed under the name Escherichia coli. RNAcentral describes it as "partial 23S ribosomal RNA". It matches the Rfam family "Bacterial large subunit ribosomal RNA", at positions 2259 to 2826 of the family's 2925-position model. The record is from RNAcentral. Lineage: Bacteria; Pseudomonadati; Pseudomonadota; Gammaproteobacteria; Enterobacterales; Enterobacteriaceae.
UGGUGGGUAGUUUGACUGGGGCGGUCUCCUCCUAAAGAGUAACGGAGGAGCACGAAGGUUGGCUAAUCCUGGUCGGACAUCAGGAGGUUAGUGCAAUGGCAUAAGCCAGCUUGACUGCGAGCGUGACGGCGCGAGCAGGUGCGAAAGCAGGUCAUAGUGAUCCGGUGGUUCUGAAUGGAAGGGCCAUCGCUCAACGGAUAAAAGGUACUCCGGGGAUAACAGGCUGAUACCGCCCAAGAGUUCAUAUCGACGGCGGUGUUUGGCACCUCGAUGUCGGCUCAUCACAUCCUGGGGCUGAAGUAGGUCCCAAGGGUAUGGCUGUUCGCCAUUUAAAGUGGUACGCGAGCUGGGUUUAGAACGUCGUGAGACAGUUCGGUCCCUAUCUGCCGUGGGCGCUGGAGAACUGAGGGGGGCUGCUCCUAGUACGAGAGGACCGGAGUGGACGCAUCACUGGUGUUCGGGUUGUCAUGCCAAUGGCACUGCCCGGUAGCUAAAUGCGGAAGAGAUAAGUGCUGAAAGCAUCUAAGCACGAAACUUGCCCCGAGAUGAGUUCUCCCUGACUCCUUGA